Molecule: long non-coding RNA, 1195 nt
Organism: Trematomus bernacchii (emerald rockcod)
Lineage: Eukaryota; Metazoa; Chordata; Actinopteri; Perciformes; Nototheniidae
Exons: 3
Source: RefSeq, a predicted model, not a curated record
UUGCUGUGUUGUUUGUGAGAUCCUGCACCAAAAAGAAAAACUGCAGUUAUCUGGUGUUAGACUGAGAAGAAGAAGAAAAAACAUGAAUGCAAAUGCUUGGAAGACUGAUAUUACUCAGGGCUCAGCUUAAAUGUAAUUUUUCCGGGGAAAGAAAAGCCUGCAGAGAAGUGGCUCGGACACUGUGCUCGACAUUUGCUCUUUGUCAGGAGCAGCAGAGAUAUGGAGUUGGUAACUUUGAGACUUUGAUAGCUGACUUUUAACAAAGCACAAGUGGUUGCCUUGAGAUUGGGCGCUUCAGUGAAUAAAUCUUAGAAAUGCCAAGUGUGAUUAAAGUGCUGCAGUGUCUCUGUUUGCUGCACUGUCAUUAUUGAGACAAAGUAUGUAGUAUCUGUGUCAUGUCACAGUGUUUAUAAUAAUACAUUUAAUUUCAAAGCGCUUUUUCAGGUGCUCAAAGACGCUUUACAGUGGUGAUAAAACGAGAUAAAAUAGAAUAAAACAUAUUAAAACAGCAACACAACAUAAUUUACAAAUUAAAAGCCAAUCUGAAUAUUCUGUCUUACAAAAGCAGACUAAUGGAAAUAUUCAUUUGACCUAAAUAGUGUGUCUGGUUAAAUCAAAUCUUUUAAUCUGUGCUGAAAUAACAAGUUUAUCAACAUAACGCAUACCAGUAGCAUUUUAAUUGGUGGAUUUAUUUUUGUCAAGUAGUGCAUCACGAAGAAAUGGCAAAUAUUUGUUCAAUUAUUUUAUUCAUUAAGUAUCCUUAUUCUAAAUAUUGUCUAAAUUAUUCGAUUUUUAUUUUCUUGUGAAAUAUUGUAAUUUAUUGUGUAUAGAGUAAUUGUCUUUGCCCAUUUAGACUAUAUAUUGUUUAUUUUAACUUUUAGCAUGACUGUGUUUUUAAGAAUUUAAGAAAGCGACGGGCGAUUGUCUCCGCCAGUCUAAGUGAUCAUCAAUGGAAAGGGGACAACUCCAAGAAGGCCAGGGCCACUCUGUUACCUGCGGCUCCACGUCCAGGAUGGAGACCAUGUCCUGCUGGUGGAUCUGCCGGAUGGUCUCAAGCCGGGUGCCGUACAUGGCGUCCUCGUGGCUGCCGUACUCCAGUACAAGGCUCAAGACCCAAGUACUCCAUGCGCCAGACAGAAGAUAUCCAGUGCUAAGCACUGCCUCUGGGAAUCAAUAAAGAUGAACUAUAACUGCA